UUUCCGUAGGUGAACCUGCGGAAGGAUCAUUAAUGAAUUUGAACGGGGUUGUUGCUGGUCUUCAUGGCAUGUGCACGCCUUGAUCUUAUCCAUUCUACACUUGUGCACCUUUGCGUGGGUUCGUCAGCUUGUGCGGUCGACGGACUACGUUUUUCACAAACUUUUGUUGUAUGUAAUCGGAAUGGUUUUAUAUGCUGUAAAUGCAUGUUGGUACAACUUUCAACAACGGAUCUCUUGGCUCUCGCAUCGAUGAAGAACGCAGC
Molecule: unclassified non-coding RNA, 263 nt
Filed under: uncultured fungus
Lineage: Eukaryota; Fungi
Description: sequence contains ITS1, 5.8S rRNA gene
Rfam family: 5.8S ribosomal RNA (bases 215-263)
Source: RNAcentral